GAUGGACGCUGGCGGCGUGCCUAAUACAUGCAAGUCGAGCGAACAGACGAGGAGCUUGCUCCUCUGACGUUAGCGGCGGACGGGUGAGUAACACGUGGAUAACCUACCUAUAAGACUGGGAUAACUUCGGGAAACCGGAGCUAAUACCGGAUAAUAUAUUGAACCGCAUGGUUCAAUAGUGAAAGACGGUUUUGCUGUCACUUAUAGAUGGAUCCGCGCCGCAUUAGCUAGUUGGUAAGGUAACGGCUUACCAAGGCAACGAUGCGUAGCCGACCUGAGAGGGGGAUCAGCCCACAUUGAACUGAGACACGGGCCAGACCCCUACGGGAGGGAACAGUGGGGAAUAUUUCACAAUGGGCGGAAGCCUUGGGGGACCAAGCCGCGUGGAUGAAAGAAGGUUUUGGGUUUUAAAAAACUUUUUAUUGGGAAAAAACAAAUGUAGAGAAAACCUUGCCGCUUUGACGGGACCCAAAGAAGAAGCCCCGGCUAACUCCGGG
This 497-nucleotide ribosomal RNA is filed under the name uncultured bacterium. RNAcentral's name for it is "partial 16S ribosomal RNA". It matches the Rfam family "Bacterial small subunit ribosomal RNA", at positions 28 to 507 of the family's 1533-position model. The record is from RNAcentral.